CCUACGGGUGGCUGCAGUGGGGAAUAUUGGACAAUGGGGGCAACCCUGAUCCAGCCAUGCCGCGUGUGUGAAGAAGGCCUUCGGGUUGUAAAGCACUUUUGUUGGGGAAGAAACCGGCCGGGUUAAUACCCUGGUUGAAUGACGGUACCCAAAGAAUAAGCACCGGCUAACUUCGUGCCAGCAGCCGCGGUAAUACGAAGGGUGCAAGCGUUACUCGGAGUUACCGUGGGUAGAUUGUUAAGAGGCGGUUGAAAGCCCUGGGCUCAACCUGGGAACUGCAGUGGAUACUGGCGAGCUAGAGUGUGUCAGAGGAUGGUGGAAUUCCCGGUGUAGCGGUGAAAUGCGUAGAGAUCGGGAGGAACACCAGUGGCGAAGGCGGCCAUCUGGGACAACACUGACGCUGAGGCACGAAAGCGUGGGGAGCAAACAGGAUUAGAUACCCGUGUAGUC
This 450-nucleotide ribosomal RNA is filed under the name uncultured bacterium. Its description in RNAcentral is "partial 16S ribosomal RNA". It matches the Rfam family "Bacterial small subunit ribosomal RNA", at positions 338 to 795 of the family's 1533-position model. The record is from RNAcentral.